RNAcentral lists this ribosomal RNA (428 nucleotides) under uncultured bacterium. RNAcentral describes it as "bacterial SSU rRNA". It matches the Rfam family "Bacterial small subunit ribosomal RNA", at positions 354 to 796 of the family's 1533-position model. The record is from RNAcentral.
GUAGGGAAUAUUGCACAAUGGGGGAAACCCUGAUGCAGCGACGCCGCGUGAGUGAUGAAGGCCUUCGGGUCGUAAAGCUCUGUCGUAUGGGACUAACACAAUGAAGGUACCAUGCAAGAAAGGAUCGGCUAACUUCGUGCCAGCAGCCGCGGUAAGACGAGGGAUCCUAGCGUUGUUCGGAAUCAUUGGGCGUAAAGCGGGUGUAGGCGGAUUUAUAAGUCAGGUGUGAAAUCCCAGGGCUCAACCCUGGAAGUGCACUUGAUACUGUAAAUCUUGAGUGUGGUAGAGGUUACUGGAAUUGUUGGUGUAGUGGUGAAAUACGUAGAUAUCAACAGGAAUACCGGAGGCGAAGGCGAGUAACUGGGCCAACACUGACGCUGAGACCCGAAAGCGUGGGGAUCAAACAGGAUUAGAAACCCUUGUAGUCC